AGUGAACGCUGGCGGUAGGCCUAACACAUGCAAGUCGAACGGCAGCACAGUAAGAGCUUGCUCUUACGGGUGGCGAGUGGCGGACGGGUGAGGAAUACAUCGGAAUCUACUUUUUCGUGGGGGAUAACGUAGGGAAACUUACGCUAAUACCGCAUACGACCUACGGGUGAAAGCAGGGGAUCUUCGGACCUUGCGCGAUUGAAUGAGCCGAUGUCGGAUUAGCUAGUUGGCGGGGUAAAGGCCCACCAAGGCGACGAUCCGUAGCUGGUCUGAGAGGAUGAUCGGCCACACUGGAACUGAGACACGGUCCAGACUCCUACGGGAGGCAGCAGUGGGGAAUAUUGGACAAUGGGCGCAAGCCUGAUCCAGCCAUACCGCGUGGGUGAAGAAGGCCUUCGGGUUGUAAAGCCCUUUUGUUGGGAGAGAAAAGCAGCAGGUUAAUACCCCGCUGUUCUGACGGUACCCAAAGAAUAAGCACCGGCUAACUUCGUG
Molecule: ribosomal RNA, 492 nt
Filed under: uncultured bacterium
Lineage: Bacteria
Description: partial 16S ribosomal RNA
Rfam family: Bacterial small subunit ribosomal RNA
Source: RNAcentral